GGCGUAGGCGGUCCGGAAAGUCGGGUGUGAAAUCCCUGGGCUUAACCCAGGACGUGCAUUCGAAACUGUCGGACUUGAAUACUGGAGGGGGUGACGGAAUUCCCGGUGUAGAGGUGAAAUUCGUAGAUAUCGGGAGGAACACCAGUGGCGAAGGCGGUCACCUGGACAGAUAUUGACGCUGAGGCCCGAAAGCGUGGGGAGCAAACA
Molecule: ribosomal RNA, 207 nt
Filed under: uncultured bacterium
Lineage: Bacteria
Description: partial 16S ribosomal RNA
Rfam family: Bacterial small subunit ribosomal RNA
Source: RNAcentral